RNAcentral lists this ribosomal RNA (457 nucleotides) under uncultured Pseudomonas sp. Its description in RNAcentral is "bacterial SSU rRNA". It matches the Rfam family "Bacterial small subunit ribosomal RNA", at positions 930 to 1382 of the family's 1533-position model. The record is from RNAcentral. Lineage: Bacteria; Pseudomonadati; Pseudomonadota; Gammaproteobacteria; Pseudomonadales; Pseudomonadaceae.
CGGUGGAGGCAUGUGGUUUAAUUCGAAGCAACGCGAAGAACCUUACCAGGCCUUGACAUGCAGAGAACUUUCCAGAGAUGGAUUGGUGCCUUCGGGAACGUCUGACACAGGUGCUGCAUGGCUGUCGUCAGCUCGUGUCGUGAGAUGUUGGGUUAAGUCCCGUAACGAGCGCAACCCUUGUCCUUAGUUACCAGCACGUUAUGGUGGGCACUCUAAGGAGACUGCCGGUGACAAACCGGAGGAAGGUGGGGAUGACGUCAAGUCCCAUCAUGGCCCUUACGGCCUGGGCUACACACGUGCUACAAUGGUCGGUACAAAGGGUUGCCAAGCCGCGAGGUGGAGCUAAUCCCAUAAAACCGAUCGUAGUCCGGAUCGCAGUCUGCAACUCGACUGCGUGAAGUCGGAAUCGCUAGUAAUCGUGAAUCAGAAUGUCACGGUGAAUACGUUCCCGGGCCUU